This is a long non-coding RNA of Polypterus senegalus (gray bichir), 1240 nucleotides long. RefSeq lists it as uncharacterized. Lineage: Eukaryota; Metazoa; Chordata; Cladistia; Polypteriformes; Polypteridae. The transcript is spliced from 2 exons. The record is from RefSeq and is a predicted model, not a curated record.
AUCCACUUUGAACCGCACACCGGACACGCAUACACACGCCCACUCGCUCACACUCUCAAAACCUCAGCCUCAAGCCAGGGAACAAUCUGCACCGCGAACUACGGGUGUCAAUCCCAGAACGACCAUUCGUUACCAGGAGACAACCCGACUGAUAAAUCAUCAAAGGGAUUUAACUCACUAAAAUGGAGACUCCAAGCAAUUGCAAAAGACGUGGAACUGACAGAGUAAAAGGUAGAAAACAGAAGAUACACGUUCAUUUAGGAAUACAACGCUGCCGCGGUGUAGUGGCGUCUAAAUCCCGCACUGAAACAGAGUCGCCAGGUGAGCGGCUUUCCCGCCCAGCCGCAGCCGGGGUGUUGUUGAACCCGCCAGCAGGAUGGUACGGACACAGUAGCUUUCAGAAUGAAUUUACUUUUAAGCCUGGGAAGGAAAAAUAUGGAGCAAAAUAAAGACAAAACCUGCAGGGGAAGCAUUAUAUAUACAUAUAUAUAUUGUGAUGGAUGGCCAGGAUCAUUACCCAGCCAGAACACCAUAUGGUUGGAAGGAACGAUGGAGAGAACCUCUUUGGGACAGUAUCCUUCCUGGGACACUAGAGAGGAGCCCCCCUAGGUUGUUACUGCACCACGGGUCACUGCAGGACAUGCCAGGAAUUCGUAGUUUGGAGUAGCCCUCUUCGGGUCCAUGGGUGCCGCCAGGGGGUGCUGCAGCUACAACUGAACCCUUUGGAGCACCACUUCUGUCACACCCAGAAGUGCAGUCAGAUGAAGGUCAAGAAAAACCUGGGGCACGUCCAGGUGCAUUAUAAAAGGAGCUGCUUCACCAUCAUUCAGCAAGCCAGAGUCGGGAGGUGGAGAAUAAAGCUUGUGAGAGGAGGAGUGGAGACUGAGAGAAAGAAAGAACUGUGUGUUGUUUGGUAGUUUGUACUGUGUUGUGCAGUGGGGGGCAAAAGAAAAAUGCUUCUCCACUUAAAAGGUGUGCAAUUUAAUUUGUCAAGACUUAUGUCUCAGCCUGUCUGUGUCGGGUUUGGAGAGCAGUACGUCCUCUGGUGGUCCACAAUAUAUAUUGUAUAUACAUUCAUAUCUGUGUGUAAAUGUUUUUAUGUAACGAGUAAAUGGUAAGCCAAACACAACUCUGCUGUAUAAUAAUGUACAUCUUAGGCAGUGUUCCCUGUAAAAUAUUUUAAGAAUUACACAGUUCAUUUGAUUGCACUUUCUGCAAAAUAAAAAAUGUUAUGGUUUGA